AAAUUGAAGAGUUUGAUCAUGGCUCAGAUUGAACGCUGGCGGCAGGCCUAACACAUGCAAGUCGAACGGUAACAGGAAGCAGCUUGCUGCUUCGCUGACGAGUGGCGGACGGGUGAGUAAUGUCUGGGAAACUGCCUGAUGGAGGGGGAUAACUACUGGAAACGGUGGCUAAUACCGCAUAACGUCGCAAGACCAAAGAGGGGGACCUUCGGGCCUCUUGCCAUCAGAUGUGCCCAGAUGGGAUUAGCUUGUUGGUGAGGUAACGGCUCACCAAGGCGACGAUCCCUAGCUGGUCUGAGAGGAUGACCAGCCACACUGGAACUGAGACACGGUCCAGACUCCUACGGGAGGCAGCAGUGGGGAAUAUUGCACAAUGGGCGCAAGCCUGAUGCAGCCAUGCCGCGUGUAUGAAGAAGGCCUUCGGGUUGUAAAGUACUUUCAGCGGGGAGGAAGGUGUUGCGGUUAAUAACCGCAGCAAUUGACGUUACCCGCAGA
This 495-nucleotide ribosomal RNA is filed under the name Salmonella enterica subsp. enterica serovar Infantis. RNAcentral describes it as "bacterial SSU rRNA". It matches the Rfam family "Bacterial small subunit ribosomal RNA", at positions 1 to 485 of the family's 1533-position model. RNAcentral also lists the same sequence under 1 other name. Lineage: Bacteria; Pseudomonadati; Pseudomonadota; Gammaproteobacteria; Enterobacterales; Enterobacteriaceae. The record is from RNAcentral.